Molecule: long non-coding RNA, 224 nt
Filed under: Solanum tuberosum (potato)
Lineage: Eukaryota; Viridiplantae; Streptophyta; Magnoliopsida; Solanales; Solanaceae
Description: long non-coding RNA (STUB_LNC004738)
Source: RNAcentral
CCCAACCAAACCUUAGAAGGUCUUCUAAACUACGGGGUUUAGUACGUACUUGGACGUUUAACCACUAAACCCCUUAACCUUUGACGUUAACCCCCACGUUUAGGCUCUAGUUUAACCUAUCAUUUUCCGAGUCGUUACAAAAGGCGAAUCCAAUCCAACCAAAUCUGGAAAAACCGAUAUAGAGGCAAAUCUAAGCCAAUCAUAUAACCAACUCUCAAACCGAC